Molecule: unclassified non-coding RNA, 304 nt
Filed under: plant metagenome
Description: partial contains 5.8S ribosomal RNA, internal transcribed spacer 2, and large subunit ribosomal RNA
Rfam family: 5.8S ribosomal RNA (bases 1-105)
Source: RNAcentral
GAAAUGCGAUAAGUAAUGUGAAUUGCAGAAUUCAGUGAAUCAUCGAAUCUUUGAACGCACAUUGCGCCCGCCAGUAUUCUGGCGGGCAUGCCUGUUCGAGCGUCAUUUCAACCAUCAAGCCCCCCGGCUUGUGUUGGGGACCUGCGGCUGCCGCAGGCCCUGAAAAGCAGUGGCGGGCUCGCUGUCACACCGAGCGUAGUAGCAUACAUCUCGCUCUGGGCGUGCUGCGGGUUCCGGCCGUUAAACCACCUUCGUAACCCAAGGUUGACCUCGGAUCAGGUAGGAAGAUCCGCUGAACUUAAGC